This 63-nucleotide transfer RNA is filed under the name Eubranchipus grubii. RNAcentral's name for it is "tRNA-Phe". Lineage: Eukaryota; Metazoa; Arthropoda; Branchiopoda; Anostraca; Chirocephalidae. The record is from RNAcentral.
AUUCCUAUAGCUUAACUAGAGCAUAACACUGAAGAUGUUAGGGUGAAUUCUUUUCUAGGGGUA